UACGGGGGGGGCAAGCGUUGUUCGGAAUUACUGGGCGUAAAGGGCGCGUAGGCGGUCUGCUAAGUUGGAUGUGAAAACUCUGGGCUUAACCCAGAGCCUGCAUUCAAUACUGACAGGCUAGAGUUCUGGAGGGGAUAGCGGAAUUCCUGGUGUAGCGGUGAAAUGCGUAGAUAUCAGGAGGAACACCGGUGGCGAAGGCGGCUAUCUGGACAGAGUCUGACGCUGAGGCGCGAAAGCGUGGGGAGCGAACGGG
This 253-nucleotide ribosomal RNA is filed under the name uncultured bacterium. RNAcentral describes it as "partial 16S ribosomal RNA". It matches the Rfam family "Bacterial small subunit ribosomal RNA", at positions 524 to 776 of the family's 1533-position model. The record is from RNAcentral.